GUGGUUCAAAGGUAGAAUGCUCGCCUGCCACGCGAGCGGCCCGGGUUUCCCGGC
This 54-nucleotide transfer RNA is filed under the name Haemonchus placei. It matches the Rfam family "tRNA", at positions 7 to 64 of the family's 71-position model. From Rfam's summary of the family: Transfer RNA (tRNA) molecules are approximately 80 nucleotides in length. Their secondary structure includes four short double-helical elements and three loops (D, anti-codon, and T loops). Lineage: Eukaryota; Metazoa; Nematoda; Chromadorea; Rhabditida; Trichostrongylidae. The record is from Rfam by way of RNAcentral.